Molecule: ribosomal RNA, 497 nt
Filed under: uncultured bacterium
Lineage: Bacteria
Description: partial 16S ribosomal RNA
Rfam family: Bacterial small subunit ribosomal RNA
Source: RNAcentral
GACGAACGCUGGCGGCGUGCCUAAUACAUGCAAGUUGAGCGCUGAAGGUUGGUACUUGUACCAACUGGAUGAGCAGCGAACGGGUGAGUAACGCGUGGGAAAUCUGCCUUUGAGCGGGGGACAACAUUUGGAAACGAAUGCUAAUACCGCAUAAAAACUUUAAACACAAGUUUUAAGUUUGAAAGAUGCAAUUGCAUCACUCAAAGAUGAUCCCGCGUUGUAUUAGCUAGUUGGUGAGGUAAAGGCUCACCAAGGCGAUGAUACAUAGCCGACCUGAGAGGGUGAUCGGCCACAUUGGGACUGAGACACGGCCCAAACUCCUACGGGAGGCAGCAGUAGGGAAUCUUCGGCAAUGGACGAAAGUCUGACCGAGCAACGCCGCGUGAGUGAAGAAGGUUUUCGGAUCGUAAAACUCGGUUGGUAGAGAAGAACGUUGGUGAGAGUGGAAAGCUCAUCAAGUGACGGUAACUACCCAGAAAGGGACGGCUAACUACGUG